This 614-nucleotide ribosomal RNA is filed under the name Bipolaris sp. IFM 55164. RNAcentral describes it as "LSU rRNA". It matches the Rfam family "Eukaryotic large subunit ribosomal RNA", at positions 38 to 667 of the family's 3401-position model. Lineage: Eukaryota; Fungi; Ascomycota; Dothideomycetes; Pleosporales; Pleosporaceae. The record is from RNAcentral.
GCAUAUCAAUAAGCGGAGGAAAAGAAACCAACAGGGAUUGCCCUAGUAACGGCGAGUGAAGCGGCAACAGCUCAAAUUUGAAAUCUGGCUCUUUCAGAGUCCGAGUUGUAAUUUGCAGAGGGCGCUUUGGCUUUGGCAGCGGUCCAAGUUCCUUGGAACAGGACGUCACAGAGGGUGAGAAUCCCGUACGUGGUCGCUAGCUAUUGCCGUGUAAAGCCCCUUCGACGAGUCGAGUUGUUUGGGAAUGCAGCUCUAAAUGGGAGGUAAAUUCCAUCUAAAGCUAAAUAUUGGCGAGAGACCGAUAGCGAACAAGUAGAGUGAUCGAAAGAUGAAAAGCACUUUGGAAAGAGAGUCAAACAGCACGUGAAAUUGUUGAAAGGGAAGCGCUUGCAGCCAGACUUGCUUGCAGUUGCUCAUCCGGGCUUUUGCCCGGUGCACUCUUCUGCAGGCAGGCCAGCAUCAGUUUGGGCGGUGGGAUAAAGGUCUCUGUCACGUACCUUCCUUCGGGUUGGCCUUAUAGGGGAGACGCCAUACCACCAGCCUGGACUGAGGUCCGCGCAUCUGCUAGGAUGCUGGCGUAAUGGCUGUAAGCGGCCCGUCUUGAAACACGGACC